GUGCUGGGCAGACAGACUCUUUAAGUUUGACCUCAAAUCAGGUAGGGUUACCCGCUGAACUUAAGCAUAUCAAUAAGCGGAGGAAAAGAAACCAACUGGGAUUGCCUUAGUAACGGCGAGUGAAGCGGCAAAAGCUCAAAUUUGAAAUCUGGUACCUUUGGUGCCCGAGUUGUAAUUUGGAGAGUACCACUUUGGGACUGUACUUUGCCUAUGUUCCUUGGAACAGGACGUCAUGGAGGGUGAGAAUCCCGUGUGGCGAGGGUGUCAGUUCUUUGUAAAGGGUGCUCGAAGAGUCGAGUUGUUUGGGAAUGCAGCUCUAAGUGGGUGGUAAAUUCCAUCUAAAGCUAAAUACAGGCGAGAGACCGAUAGCGAACAAGUACAGUGAUGGAAAGAUGAAAAGAACUUUGAAAAGAGAGUGAAAAAGUACGUGAAAUUGUUGAAAGGGAAGGGCAUUUGAUCAGACAUGGUGUUUUGCGCCCCUUGCCUCUCGUGGGCUUGGGACUCUCGCAGCUCACUGGGCCAGCAUCGGUUUUGGCGGCCGGAAAAAACCUAGGGAAUGUGGCUCUGCGCCUCGGUGUAGAGUGUUAUAGCCCUGGGGAAUACGGCCAGCCGGGACCGAGGACUGCGAUACUUGUUAUCUAGGAUGCUGGCAUAAUGGUUAUAUUGCCGCCCGGCCUUGAA
Molecule: ribosomal RNA, 681 nt
Filed under: Nakaseomyces glabratus
Lineage: Eukaryota; Fungi; Ascomycota; Saccharomycetes; Saccharomycetales; Saccharomycetaceae
Description: LSU rRNA
Rfam family: Eukaryotic large subunit ribosomal RNA
Source: RNAcentral